CAGCCGCCGCGGGAAUACAGAGGGUGCGAGCGUUAAUCGGAUUUACUGGGCGUAAAGCGUGCGUAGGCGGCUUCUUAAGUCGGAUGUGAAAUCCCUGAGCUUAACUUAGGAAUUGCAUUCGAUACUGGGAAGCUAGAGUAUGGGAGAGGAUGGUAGAAUUUCAGGUGUAGCGGUGAAAUGCGUAGAGAUCUGGAGGAAUACCGAUGGCGAAGGCAGCCAUCUGGCCUAAUACUGACGCUGAGGUACGAAAGCAUGGGGAGCAAACAGGAUUAGAUACCCGAGUAGUCCCUGUCUCUUAUAC
RNAcentral lists this ribosomal RNA (301 nucleotides) under uncultured bacterium. Its description in RNAcentral is "partial 16S ribosomal RNA". It matches the Rfam family "Bacterial small subunit ribosomal RNA", at positions 509 to 807 of the family's 1533-position model. The record is from RNAcentral.